Molecule: ribosomal RNA, 497 nt
Filed under: Pelagococcus sp. RCC5665
Lineage: Eukaryota; Pelagophyceae; Pelagomonadales; Pelagomonadaceae
Description: SSU rRNA
Rfam family: Eukaryotic small subunit ribosomal RNA
Source: RNAcentral
GCUCGUAGUUGGAUUCCUGGCCUGGGGUAGCCGGUCCGCCUUGCAAAAGGUGCGCACUGUGCGGCCUCGGCCAUCCUUGAGAAGAGCUGUUCUGGCAUUCAGUUGUCGGGGCGGGGAUUCUCGACGUUUACUGUGAAAAAAUCAGAGUGUUCAAAGCAGGCUUACGCCUUGAAUACAUUACCAUGGAAUAAUGAGAUAGGACCUUGGCGGUCUAUUUUGUUGGUUUGCACGCCGAGGUAAUGAUUAAAAGGGACGGUUGGGGUUCUUCGUAUUCAAUUGUCGGAGGUGAAAUUCUUGGAUUUAUGGAAGACGAACUGCUGCAAAAGCGUCGAACAAGGACGUUCUCAUUAAUCAAGAACGAAAGUUAGGGGAUCGAAGAUGAUUAGAUACCAUCGUAGUCUUAACCAUAAACUAUGCCGAUUCAGGAUUGGCGGUCGUUUGUUCUCGACUCCGUCAGCACUGUAUGAGAAAUCAAAAUCUUUGGGUUCCGGGGGGAG